Molecule: ribosomal RNA, 406 nt
Filed under: uncultured bacterium
Lineage: Bacteria
Description: partial 16S ribosomal RNA
Rfam family: Bacterial small subunit ribosomal RNA
Source: RNAcentral
AUUGAACGCUGGCGGCAGGCCUAACACAUGCAAGUCGAACGAGUGGCGGACGGGUGAGUAAUGUCUGGGAAACUGCCUGAUGGAGGGGGAUAACUACUGGAAACGGUAGCUAAUACCGCAUACCAUCAGAUAUGCCCAUAUGGGAUUAGCUUGGUGGCGGGGUAAAGGCUCACCAAGGCGACGCCCCCUAGCUGGUGUGAGAGGAUGACCAGCCAAAAUGGGAAUGAGACACGGUCCAGACGCCUAAGGGAUGCAGCAGUGGGGAAGAUUGCAAAAUGGGAGCAAGCCUGAUGCAGCCAUGCCGCGUGUAUGAAGAAGGCCUUCGGGUUGUAAAGUACUUUCAGCGGGGAGGCGUUACCCGCAGAAGAAGCACCGGCUAACUCCGUGCCAGCAGCCGCGGUAAUAC